GACGAACGCUGGCGGCGUGCUUAACACAUGCAAGUCGAACGGAAAGGCCCUGCUUUUGUGGGGUGCUCGAGUGGCGAACGGGUGAGUAACACGUGAGUAACCUGCCCUUGGCUUUGGGAUAACUUCAGGAAACUGGGGCUAAUACCGGAUAGGAGCUCCUGCUGCAUGGUGGGGGUUGGAAAGUUUCGGCGGUUGGGGAUGGACUCGCGGCUUAUCAGCUUGUUGGUGGGGUAGUGGCUUACCAAGGCUUUGACGGGUAGCCGGCCUGAGAGGGUGACCGGCCACAUUGGGACUGAGAUACGGCCCAGACUCCUACGGGAGGCAGCAGUGGGGAAUAUUGCACAAUGGGCGGAAGCCUGAUGCAGCAACGCCGCGUGCGGGAUGACGGCCUUCGGGUUGUAAACCGCUUUCGCCUGUGACGAAGCGUUAGUGACGGUAAUGGGUAAAGAAGCACCGGCUAACUACGUG
Molecule: ribosomal RNA, 468 nt
Filed under: uncultured bacterium
Lineage: Bacteria
Description: partial 16S ribosomal RNA
Rfam family: Bacterial small subunit ribosomal RNA
Source: RNAcentral